ACGCUGGGUGUUUGAUCACAGAGCUCUACAGGUGGGUGGAUUGCUGCCGGGUGUUUGAUCACAGAGCUCUACAGGUGGGUGGAUUGCUGCCGGGUGUUUGAUCACAGAGCUCUGAGGUGGGUGGAUUGACGCUGGGUGUUUGAUCACAGAGCUCUGCCGGUGGGUGGAUUGCUGCCGGGUGUUUGAUCACAGAGCUCUGCCGGUGGGUGGAUUGACGCUGGGUGUUUGAUCACAGAGCUCUACAGGUGGGUGGAUUGCUGCCGGGUGUUUGAUCACUGAGCUCUGCCGGUGGGUGGAUUGACGCUGGGUGAUUGAUCACAGAGCUCAGGAUUAUGAAGAAUAUAUCCCCUCCAUGGAGCCUGAAUAUAGAGGAAUAACAAAGUUCAUGUUUCACUCUUUCCAAAGCCAUCAAACACUGUGAGGAAAUUGCCACUUACCCCAAGAACGUAUCACCUUUCGCCUUGAGACAUACAGUUGUUGGAACUUCAAAUGUUAGUCCAAAAUAAAUAUAGCCAAGCUGGAAACAUAACUGACCUGCAGAGUUUAGAUUUUUGUCUAAAAAUUUGAAAUUCACUUUGAACCCUAACCAUUCACACUCUAGUAAAUGGCCCUGUAAGAAUCUUUAUAUACUAUAUGGAUAAUCGACUGUCACGUCCAUAUGAGCAUGUUGGACAUCCCAUUUCAAAACUAUGGGCUUAAAAUGGUUAUUCCAAGCACCAUAACCACUUCAUGGAUUGGAAGUGAUCAUGUUGCCUGGGAGGGGCAUAACUAGGAAUCACAGGACCCUGGUGGAAGAAUCAAAGGAAGGUCCCGUUACCGCCCUCCUUGCUUCCCCUAAGCAGUACAUCUGAGUGGGAUAUGUGCGGUGGCUGAGUGUGAUUCUGUGUGGGGAAUGGUUGAGUCCGAUUGUGUUGACGGAGUGUGAUUGUAUAUGAGGUUUGGCUGCAUGUUGAGUGAUUGGUCCUGCUUGGGUCCCCUCCAUAAACAUAGCAAGCCCCUGUGCUGAUGCUUAUAUCCUGGCUUCACUUCCAACACACUGGCGUCAGAGUAUUCCCAUACUCCGCCAAUAAGCUCCUGCUGGGGGAGUAACACAGUGACACAGCUGUUUUUUAAAUUAAAGCUCUUUAAAUUAAAAUUUCUGCUAGCACAAUGUACAGAUGGAAUUUAAUGCUCUUUAAUAUAACAUACAUUUAUUAAUAAUACAUGUAUGUGUAUGACCGGGUCAAAGGUGUGGGUGUCGAAGGAAGAGAUUUAGGUCCCAGAAUCAAAACCAUCUGUAUCCCCUUCAGGGAGUAAGAAAAAAAAACUACAUUUCCCAGCAAGCAGCUCUACAGGUGAGGGAUAACCAAGGACCCACACCUAACUUUAAUUAAAGUUUAAAUGGUCUUUAACCCCUAAAGGACCAAACCUCUGGAAUAAAAGGGAAUCAUGACAUGUUACACAUGUCAUGUGUCCUUAAGAGGUUAAAUGAUCAGUGUAAGAAAGGCUUACAACCUUUAUUUGGUUGCUGGUUGCAGAGAGGUAAGAGGUUGAUAUGUAAACGUGGUGUUUUCACAUGCUGUGUUUGGUAAAUCGAUUUAGCCAUCCAGGGAGUGACUGUGUUAUAGUUCGUGCUUUGGUGAGAGCUAGAAUUUAUUGGAUGUUGUUUUGGAAUUGCUGGAAAUAUAACCUCAUUGGACUGUACAAUAAAUUGUAUUAAAAGACUACCAGAUCUUGUUGUGUCUAACCCUGGGAGACUGCUAAGAUCCCUAACACUGUGAGGGUUAAUUACAAUAUAUGUGUGUGUGUAAACACACAAAUUAUUAUUACAAAUCACAUGACACAAACACUAAAAGAUACGCCUCCACUGGUACACAUACACUGACCCAGCAGCUCACUGACUGGCACACCCUCUGUUACACUCACUGACAGACACACUGACCCAGCAGCUUACUGACUGGCACACCCUCUGAUACACAUACACUGACCCAGCAGCUCACUGACUGGCACACCCUCUGUUACACUCACUGACAGACACACUGACCCAGCAGCUUACUGACUGGCACACCCUCUGAUACACUCACUGACAGACACACUGACCCAGCAGCACGGCUACACACCCUCUGAUACACUCACUGAGCAGACACACACUUGGCAACACUGACUGGCACACCCUCUGAUACACUCACUGACAGACACACUGACCCAGCAGCUUACUGACUGGCACACCCUCUGAUACACUCACUGACAGACACACUGACCCAGCAGCUCACUGACUGGCACACCCUCUGUUAUACUCACUGACAGACACACUGACCCAGCAGCUCACUGACUGGCACACCCUCCUGAUACACUCACUGACCCAGCAGCUUACUGACUGGCACACCCUCUGAUACACUCACUGACAGACACACUGACCCAGCAGCUCACUGACUGGCACCCUCUGGUACACUCACUGACAGACACACUGACCCAGCAGCUCACUGACUGGCACACCCUCUGAUACACUCACUGACAGACACACUGACCCAGCAGCCCCUGAAAGCACCCUCCUGAUACCCUCACUGACAGACACGCACUGACCCAGCAGCUUACUGACUGGCACCCUCUGAUACACUCACUGACAGACACACUGACCCAGCAGCUCACUUUGACUGGCACACCCCUCUGAUAAACUCACUGACAGACACUGACCCAGCAGCUCACUGGCACACCCUCUGAUACACAUACACUCACUGACAGGCACACUGACCCAGCAGCUCACUGACUGGCACACCCUCUGAUACACAUACACUCACUGACAGGCACACUGACCCAGCAGCUCACUGACUGGCACACCCUCUGAUACACAUACACUCACUGACAGGCACACCGACCCAGCAGCUCACUGACUGGCACACCCUCUGAUACACUCACUGACAGACACACUGACCCAGCAGCUCACUGACUGGCACACCCUCUGAUAUACAUACACUGACCCAGCAGCUCACUGACGGGCACGCGCUCAGAUACACAUACUCAUUGACAGACACACUCUGAUACAUACAUACAUACAUACAUACACUGACACACAUACAUACAUACACUCUCACUGAUACUGACACCGCACUCACAAAUUACAAUUGUAUUUGAGUUUAAGUUCACCUAGCCUCCCUACCUUUUGGAAGAGUUAGUGUAGAUCCUGUCUUGGGGUCCAGUGGGGGCUGCUGUGAUCAUCUUCCUGGUCUUCUAGCUCAGUUCCCUCGCUUGCUGUUUAUGCAGGCAGGAGCCUGCAUAUUUCAAUUCCCGUCCUCACAGUAGCCAGCGAGGUAGCAGAGCAAGAAGACUACAGGUCCCUCGCUGCCCUCUUCCAUUGUGCAUAGCUGCUUACAUCGGGGGGGCCUAAGAUGGCCAGCCAGCUCUUGCGCUCCAAGCAGAACACUGGCCAGUCUCACUCGGAACCUCAGCAGUUCUGCCACUGGUACCUGGAGUCUGUAUGUGCAGUGUUUCACUGUGAAAUCCUACACCUACAGAUACUAACCCCAUCGGGAUGUAUAACUGGGAAGGCUCUACACAAGAUAUUAGACGGUAUGGGUAUUUGUGUCUAUUUAGCCAAAAAGGCAUUUAUGUUGUCCGAGAAGGUAUUUCUCCCGUUCUGUAUUUCAGUUCCUCUCAGAGGUGUUCAGUGAGGUAGAGGACAGAGCUCUGUUCAGGACACCCCAAACUCCUCAAACCACGCCUUCAUGGAAAAAGUAAAACCACCAAGACGGAUUAAUUUGACACUCUUUAGAAAAGGCAGAAAAAUGUCGUGUGUGUGUGUGUGUGUGUGUGUGUGUGUGUGUGUGUGUGUGUGUGUGUGUGUGUGUGUAAAGGGUGUUUGUAACAGUUUUAUACAUCAGAAAAUUGACAAUUGUUAUACAUCACUCCAGCAGUGGCUGGUGAAGUUUAAAGAUUGGAAGAAUCUCUAAAUAAUUUGAAGAUGAGUCACUGUCCAGACUCUACCUCUGAAGUUUUACUAUGCCUCCUUAAAGGGAUACGAUCAGUACCUGUCAUACAAAGCUAUUCCUGGAACUAUGGCUUCCUAUGCGUACUAUUGCGACGUAGCACAACGUGCAGGUGCUAAUGCGCAUGCAUGACAAAUGUCAGAGCUACUAUAUUAACUGCAAUAUUUGAAGAAGUUGCAGGAUGCAUUCAAGAACUAUUUUGCAAGUGUUAGUGGACUUUACGCCCUCCCAAAUCUCACUGUACAUAUAACCGUAUUUUGUUCUUUUAACUGCGUCUUUCCUGAUUUUUACACGAUCUCUCCCUAAACGCAGCCUGUGUAUAUUUUCUUUGGUUUGUAGAACUCGUUCUCGCCCUCAGCGGACGCGUGGACAUUUAACAUGUUUCCUUGUUUUGUUUAAUUGAAUGUCUGUAAUCCUUAUGCCUCAGAUUUGGACCACUUCACGUAAACCCUGUAAUAUUCAGAGAGGGCUUAGUGAGAUAUAGCCCACAUGCUAAUGAGCAGGAAAAGCGUAAAAUAAGAAACUGCGCUAUUCCAGCAGCAGCUGUCCGUCCUAAUCUGCAGCGUCAUCGAGCACAAUCUAUACAGCAAUUGGGUUAAACCUUCUAAUGUAGUGCCCAUUAUUAAAUCCUUCUUAAGGGAACUCAUUUUAAUAUGCAGAUUAUUAAGCAGAAAAGGAGGGACACAUUUAAUGAGCACAGAAUAGGAGAGGAUUGAGUCCCAGACUGGCCCAGAGCCAGCAAGCUCCAUCUAUACAUAUCUAGCCAGUAUUCUGUUACUGUUGUGAGUUUGUGCAUGUCAGUGUAUUCCUCCUGUUUUAAUGUAGGGCCUGCAUGCUAUGGCAUCUCAGGGCAUGCCCUGUGUAUUACGGCGUGCCCGCGUGCGCCCUGUGUAUUACAGCAUGUCAAUAUGAGGUGUGUUGCUAUAUGUUAGUGCAUAUAUUAUUGUAUAAAAUUAAGAGAAUAGGCAUCUUAAUAUCCAGAUGUAAAGCAGCUUGAGCACCCAAACUGGAGUCUUUCAGUCGUUAGAAUGCAGUAAAGGAGAUAAACGGGGGAGCAGAGCCUUGGACAAAAUCCUUAAAUUCACGAUGGUAGGUGGUAGAGGAGGGAAAGGGUAUGUGUGUGUAUAUCUAUAUCUCUAUCUCUAUAUAUAAACUCAAAACGUCAGAAGAAAAAAAUAAAUUUUAUUUACAGUGUGAAGUACUGGCUUUUAGCUCCGAUUGUAGUUCUUGGGCAGCAUAAUCCCUGCCUGUGGAUAUGGAUCUGUUUUUGUUUUUUUCCCUUGGUCUAACGUAGUAUAGCGUAGGAAUAAGCACCAGGAUAGUGCAGUAUGUCAGGAGAUCAAAUUGAAUAAGUAUAAUAAAAAUGCACACUCACAUUAGUUGGAGCCUUCAGAUAGCUCUCUUUCUAAUGCCUAGGGUGGAAUAAUCCCCACUAUAGGAUAUAUGUACAGAAAUCUCUCUCUGAUAUGGGUAGAUAAAAUAAAAUCCUCACCGUGGAUAUAAAACCAUAACAACAUAUAGUGAAAACUGUAUAUAUUUAAACAAUCAGAAAAGUACUCACAUUUGGGAGAGCAACCAAUGUUUUGUUCAAUCUAAAUUCGCUUAGGUGGUAUAUUCCCCACCAAGGAAGAUGUUGCUCCACCAGCGAAGGAAUUGGGAAGGUCCAGAAAAUAUGAAGUAAUAUUACCUUCAUUAUAGCGCUAAUAUAAAAAAGAAUAAUACACAAACACGUUUCACCUAAGGUGUAGGCUCCAACAAAUGUGAGUGCACAUUCUUAUUAUACGUACUUUUUAUUCAAUUUGAUCUCCUGACAUACCACACUAUCCUGGUGCUCUGUUUGUGUUGUAUAUCUACACUAUGCUGUACUGUGUUGGACCAAGAAAGAAAAAAGGACCCAUAUCCACAGGCGGGGAUUUUACCGCCCAAGUGCUACAAUUGUAGGUAAAAGGCAGCUUCCUGCACUGCAAGUGCAGGUGAAGUUUUGAUAUAUACUACACUAUAUAUCCCCUCUAGUACAUGCCAUUGUGAAUUUGAGGACUUCUUUAAGCCGCUGCAUAUAUUAUUGUAUGUCCGUGUGUUACUGUAUGUUAGCGUGUAUUAUUGUAUGUCAGUGUUACUGUAUGUUGGUAUGAGUGUUGUCUGUCUUACUGUAUGUUAGCGUGUAUUAUUGUAUGUGUGUUACUGUAUGUUAGCUUGUGUAUUAUUGUAUAUCUGUGUGUUAGUGUAUUUGUCCUUUUAUGUAUGACAUGGUGUGGCCCCUGUGUAUGUCACAUGUUAUAUGAUGUCUUCCAAGCUUUUAUAGUGUCAUGGUGGGCCUUCGGAAUAAUAAGUUGGGACAGGGCAGAAAGGGUAGUUAGUAGAUUCCACUCACAAUCCUGGUGCUAUGCGAGUUCACUAAUCUGAUUUAACUCUCGGGGCCAGUACUGUCAAUGGUCUAAUUGCAAUUUAGACUUGACUAUUCUGACCUAAUUCAUUCAUUAGAUAAUCAGCUCUUUCCGUGCCCUCCCCACUUCUGUCAACAAGUUUCUCUCAUUUACAUAAAUAAUUUCUAUUCAAUUAAGUGACCAGAUGUCCAAGUUGUGCUGCAAAUGAAUUAAAAAUAAAUAUAAUUUAAUAAUGGCUGAUUAGAAGGAAUUAAUUGUUAUAUAAAGAGGAAAAAUCAAGAGGCCGCUAUUUACCCCAGAUUGGCGCUCCUCCACAUUAAUUAUAGGCAACUCUCUCUGACUAAUCUCCCUAACCCUUUCCCUGGAGCUUGUCUGCAACAUGUGGCAGACAUAUUAUUUUAUGUGCAGCAUGCCACUGGUGGGCCUGUUGCCACAUGGGCCGACGUGGUGCGAUUUUAAUCCUUAAUUUAUAGGCUAUUAUUUGCGUAAAGACAACUCAAAUGCCCAAACUUCCCCAUAAUUGCUUAACAUGUGAAAAUGCUUUAAAAAAAAAAAAGCAUGCUAUCCCGUCUCCAUGCUCUAUCACAAUGUAAGUGCGUUUGGUGGGCCUUUCACAAGAUCGUCUACUGAUUGGACUAAUUCCGGGUACGUACUUGGUUCGGCGAAUGAGAUUAGUAUGAGCUAAGCUGCUGACACGACUCCGAUCCACAGCCACUGACCCCUUUCUUCUUCACGCUGUGAAAUACCUUUCUUCUGCAAGGAUUAGGGAAUGGCUUUUUUUUUUUUUUCUGUCCUUCCAAUGAAAAGGGGGCUUAUUCACUAAAUGGUGCUCUGUAUUUGGCACGUUGAAAAACCACACAUUUUGCUAAAUAUUACUUUAUGUAUGGCUACCUGCAUAUGAUUUCUUCAUUAAUUUCUGAGGAGAGUUUAAAAAUUUUUAAUAAAUAAAAUUAAAAAACUGUUAAAAUUUGAUACUAUUUUAUAGCCGUAUACAGUGUUAUGCCAUGCAGAACUUGGGAAAUAACAUUUCUCACACUUUGAGAUUGUCUUCAUUUUAAAAUGUUUUAUAUAUGCAUAUUUCAUGUGAAAUGAAAGCCCUAUUUCUCUUGAAGAUGAUAUAUAAGUGUGGGUGGAAUUAUUACGAAAGAGGUAAAUUAUGGUUGAACCACAUAUAGUUAAAAUUCUAGGGUUUGUUCUGGUUCACAACUUGGACAAUUGCCUGCAUCCUUAAGGGGUUAAAGACACAUUAUGUUAUACACUCAGACACAUUACUGGGAGUAUUAUUGCUGUGGAGCUUUGUUAUACACUCAGACACAUUACUGGGAGUAUUAUUGCUGUGGAGCUCUGUUAUACACUCAGACACAUUACUGGGAGUUUUAUUACUGUGGAGCUCUGUUAUACACUCAGACACAUUACUGGGAGUAUUAUUGCUGUGGAGCUCUGUUAUACACUCGGACACAUUACUGGGAGUAUUAUUGCUGGGGAGCUCUGUUAUACAUUCAGACACAUUACUGGGAGUAUUAUUGCUGGGGAGCUCUGUUAUACACUCAGACACAUUACUGGGAGUAUUAUUGCUGGGGAGCUCUGUUAUAAAAUUUUACACUCCAACAAUUUGAAGCUCCUAGAAAAGAGGGACAGAGGGAUUUGGACCGUAAAUAGGAAUUGUCCCUCCUAAAUAGGGACACUUGGGAGAUAUGCUUUGAGUUAAGUGUGACCUCCUUUUCCCUCAUUAAAAAUAAAUUGUCACUUUUAUAAGUGACAGUCUGCAUAGUUCCUGGUUCAAAAUGCUUGAACAAUUGUUCAAGUGAAAUUCAGAGCUUUCAUAAGUAAGCAUUAGUCAAUACUUCUACAGUUGUACUCAUUGUUUGCAUACCCUUGGAGAAUUGGGAAUAUAUGGACCAUUUUUAAAGAAAACAUGAGCGAGCAGGGAAAACACAUUUCUUUUAUUUCUUAUGGGAUUAAUAUUCAACUGUAAGUUAUAACAGAAUGGCACAAUCAUAAAACAAAACAUGGCAAUAAAGUAAAAAAAUGAAAUGACCUAUGUUCAAAAGUCUGCAUACCAUUUGUUCUUAAUACUUUGUAUUUCCCCCUUAAUUACAAUGACAGUGUGCAGUCUUUUGUAAUAGUUCUCUAUGAGGCCCCUAAUUCUUGCAGGUGGUAUAGCUGCCCAUUCGUCUUGGCAAAAUGCCUCCAGGUCAUGCAAAGUCUUUGGUCGUCUUGCAUGAACCACACAUUUGAGAAGCCACCAUAGUGGAUCGAUGAUAUUAAGGUCAGGAGACUGUGAUGGCCACUCCAGAACCUCCACCUUUAUCUGCUGUAACCAUGGCCGUCUUUAAUUUUGAUUGGACCCUGGGCAAGCAUUUACUUGGGACUAUAUAUAUACAUACAUACAUACAUACAUACACACACACACACUACCUGACACACAUGCAGAUACACACUGACUGCAUGUAGAUACACACAAGAACAUACAGAUACACACAGACUACAUAUAGAUACACUGACACACACAUAGAAAUACACACAGAUAUAAACACUGACAUACAUGCAGAUACAAAAGGUACACCCAUUGACUACAUAUAGAUACACACACACACACACACACACUGACACACAUCCAGAUACACAACCUAAAACACAUGCAGAUAUACAGAUACAAAUACAGAUACACACACACACACACACACACACACACACAAACGGAAAACAUACAGAUACAGAGGCACAUUCUGACAGACGUACUGACACAGACAGCCAUACUGAAAUACAGAUACACAAAGACAUACUGAACCACACAGACACUGACAUACAGAUACAUUGACAGACAUACUAGCACAUAUACACACAGACAGACGGACAUACUGAAACACACAUACACACAGACAUAUUGACAAACACAGACAUACAGAACCACAUGGACACUGACAGACAUACAGACAUUCUGGCACACAUACACACAGACAGCCAUACUGAAACACACAUACACACAUACAUACAUACUGAACCACACAGACACUGACAGACAUACUGACACACUGACAGACAUACUGACAUACUGACACACUGACAGACAUACACACAUAUACAGACAUACUGAAACACACAGACACUGACAGACUCUCACACACACAGACAUACAGAUACACUGACAGACAUACUGGCACACUAACAGACAUACACAGAUACUGACACACUCAUGCAAAAUUUGAUAACCACCCUCCAGUUUCUUACCUUUUCCUGGAGGGUGGCUUCCCUGGGGUCCAGUGGGCUGGCUGGGGUGGCUGGGAGUUAAGCUCUCCCGGCCUGGCCCCCUCCGGAACAGCUGGUCCUCCUUCCUCCCGCGCGGCUAUUGUUUCUGUGGGAGGAAGUGACGCACGGCUGUCACUUCCUCCCAGUGCUGCCGAAAAGCAAGGGCCUGGUCGAGCUGUUAAAGCGCCACAUCACCCGACCGGGCCCCUGCUGACACAGGCCCACUGGGUGGCCCUAAGUGCAUGGGCCACCCAAUGGGACCCCAUAGUUUGCGGGCAGAGGGCAAACAGGGCAGUUACCUCGGGCCCCCCAGCAGGGACAGGGCCCGGGGCAGCUGCCCUGUUUGCCCCGCGUUAAAGACGGCCCUGGCUGUAACCACUGGAGGGCAGUGCCAUCUUAACAGCAUUAUGGGCCCCAGGGCAAAGCAGUGCACUGGGGCCCUGCCUACAUAACAAUUUAACAAAAUUAAGCUUAAAUUUAUUGGUACCUCUAUCAAAUGCCAUACAUGCAUACAAUAUACACACAUACAGCAGUGAAGGGUGCAGUGUAUGUUUGUGUUGGUUGCAGAGUUUAACCCCUUAGGGACCAAACUUCUGGAAUAAAAGGGAAUCAUGACAGGUCACACAUGUCAUGUGUCCUUAGGGGGUUAAAGGGUGCAGGUAGCAAAUUAUUUUAUUUAUUUUUUGUUGCAAAUAAUACUUUACAUUAAUAAAAUCUUCAUGUCAUGUAAAUGCACCACAACCACUGUAAUACAGCUACUAUAUACCAGUGCAAGAACAAGGCUGUUGUAAAACAUAUUGUCAAUACAACAACUAAUCAAGAGACUGACAUCUAAGUAUUUCAUGAAAAGAUGUUCUGUAACUGUUUCAUUCAUUAAAUUUAAAGGGANNNNNNNNNNNNNNNNNNNNNNNNNNNNNNNNNNNNNNNNNNNNNNNNNNNNNNNNNNNNNNNNNNNNNNNNNNNNNNNNNNNNNNNNNNNNNNNNNNNNGGGGAUAUGCCUCUCCAGGGCUCCUCCUUCCCACCCUCCCAGUGGACUUGAGGAAAAUGGACAAUUGAAUUUGUUAUCAGCGAAGGAUAAUGUACCAUUGGGUAUCAGCUUGUAUCUGCAGUGUUAGCAAUGUUAUUGCUAGCAUAAUGGGAGCUUGUCUGAAUGGGCGACUGAGAGAACAUUAUUAGUGGAGGUAAACUCAUCAUUCCUGACUGUCAGGGUUAGGGUGAGACGGUUUCACUAGUUUGCUGUUUGCGCUGGAGGUAUUUCCUGGCAGGCGACUUUCUGGCCUCCUUUAUAUUAAUAUAUGGGAUGAUCAAGAUCUCCUCACUAUUAACGAUAAGCUGAUCUGUGUCCUUAUAGUGCAAAGUGCACAAUUCUUGUAAGAAUACAGAAUAAUGUACAAUAAAUAGUUCAAUCACUUUUUCUUUUCUUUUUUUUGUCAAGUAUUUGCUUUUUUUUUCUGCACCCAAAUUAAAUUAUUAUCGCCAUUUAUAUAGCGCCAACAGAUUCCGUAGCGCUUUACAAUAUGUUGAUGAUAUAGCAUCAAAAAUUACGCAAUACUUUUAGUAUUCACAUGUCAUAGAAAUUCCUCUGUGGAUUAGCCUAUACAUAUGCACUCUAUAAAAACUCCAGUUGCUCAAGUUUUCAUACUUGAAAAGAGGGAAAUGUGUGAUUGAUAUUUAAAACAUAAAUUUUAAUAAGCAGCCACUAUAAAAAGUUAAACUACCUAUAAAUGAAGGGUAUAAAGGGGAUCCAAAAUGGAACAGUAGAUAAUCUGAUAAAUUCUUGUAGCUCUAAGUAGCGGUUACUGCUUAGAAGCUAGUUACAAAUUCCUAAUGAAAACCAACCUUAAUAAAGAGAGGGGACGGUUUCAUAUAGUUUGAAGGUGGUUUGUAGGACAAAUUUAUAAAAUCGGUAGACAGUCAUUAAACUUAAUUUGAUAUUGAAAAGCCUUACCUAGAUGGAGGGGAACAGUUAGUGAGAUAAUAUCCCUGGACCCUGUAGCCUACAAAUUUCCAUACUUGUUCCAGUCUUGCACAGGCACAAUGCAGACAUUAAGAGAUCCCUAUUUAUUAACACUGAGCUGCCAUUUGUCUGGCCACUAACUAAAUGGAAAGGCUAAACGUUCACUUUCUGGAACCAUUAAUAAGAACUUUUGUCCAUUUCCAUGUAAUGCUUCAUUUUCUUUAAAUGUGAAUUAAAGAUUUAGCAAUCCGGCUCAGUCCUGGCACCGCCAGGGCACACGUUGCAUUGGUAGAGGUAAAACAAGCAUGGUUUUGCUUCCUCCUCCUGUCUCAGUGCUGAUUGACAGGUGCAAAGGGUGGAGCUUUCCAGUUAACUUUCCUUUUUUAGACUUACAUACUUGAAUACAGAAGUGAUACGUAAAUAUAAUCUUGAAAAACCAUGGGGUGUAAGUAUAUCUGUAAAGAAUGCUUAUCUUGCUUACAAUUCUGUGUUCUCUGCACAGAUACAAUGUAUGUUUUAGUGCUUACUUUAUUGUGGUUGUUAUUUAUUUUUUUUCUGUUAAAUAAUACUGUAUACUUUGCAGUAUUGUAUUUCUAAUGCAGUUUGUGAUUCUUGAAAAAUAUAUAUACAUUUUUCCAGCUUACAAGGAUUUCCAGUGAGAGCAUUGGGUCUCAUCAGGCAUUUAAAACAUCCCUGUACUGUUGCUGGGAUAUAAUUGGCAGAACUGCGCAAAUAUCUGUUCCUGAUUGGCUGCUUGCACCACAUGAUCUUAGCACCUUUUUAUUAUCACUAAUUACCAUUGAGAGUUUAAAAUAUGUAAUUUCAGGAUAACCAGCCACACUAUGUAAUUGUCAGAUAUCAUCUGGUAGUUACAGAUUCAUGUCCUGCAGCUUGGGUCGAUGGCAAUAAUAUUAUUCUCACCUCAUCUAUUUAAAGAAUAUUUCUGGUCUCCAGUUGGACUUAACCCAGGGCUGAUCUUCUAUUAGAUAAAACAAACUCCAUCAUGCUUCACAUUGCUUUCUAUGUCCCUGCUACCUAUCUCUGCCCUCAUUCCUGUUCCCAAUUCUUUCUCUCCCCCUUGCUCCAUCAUUGCUUUCUAUGUCCCUGCUACCUAUCUCUGCCCUCGUUCCUCUUCCCAAUGUUCCCAAUUCUUUCUCUCCCCCUUGCUCCAUCAUUGCUUUCUAUGUCCCUGCUACCUAUCUCUGCCCUCGUUCCUCUUCCCAAUGUUCCCAAUUCUUUCUCUCCCCCUUGCUCCAACAUUGCUUUCUAUGUCCCUGCUCACUAUCUCUGCCCUCAUUCCUCUUCCCAAUUCUUUCUCUCCCCCUUUCUCCAUCAUUGCUUUCUAUGUACCUGCUACCUAUCUCUGCCCUCGUUCCUCUUCCCAAUGUUCCCAAUUCUUUCUCUCCCCCUUGCUCCAUCAUUGCUUUAUGUCCCUGCUACCUAUCUCUGCCCUCGUUCCUCUUCCCAAUGUUCCCAAUUCUUUCUCUCCCCCUUGCUCCAUCAUUGCUUUCUAUGUCCCUGCUACCUAUCUCUGCCCUCGUUCCUCUUCCCAAUGUUCCCAAUUCUUUCUCUCCCCCUUGCUCCAUCAUUGCUUUAUAUGUCCCUGCUACCUAUCUCUGCCCUCGUGCCUCUUCCCAAUGUUCCCAAUUCUUUCUCUCCCCCUUGCUCCAUCAUUGCUUUCUAUGUACCUGCUACCUAUCUCUGCCCUCGUUCCUCUUCCCAAUGUUCCCAAUUCUUUCUCUCCCCCUUGCUCCAUCAUUGCUUUAUGUCCCUGCUACCUAUCUCUGCCCUCGUUCCUCUUCCCAAUGUUCCCAAUUCUUUCUCUCCCCCUUGCUCCAUCAUUGCUUUCUAUGUCCCUGCUACCUAUCUCUGCCCUUGUUCCUCUUCCCAAUGUUCCCAAUUCUUUCUCUCCCCCUUGCUCCAUCAUUGCUUUCUAUGUCCCUGCUACCUAUCUCUGCCCUCGUUCCUCUUCCCAAUGUUCCCAAUUCUUUCUCUCCCCCUUGCUCCAUCAUUGCUUUCUAUGUACCUGCUACCUAUCUCUGCCCUCGUGCCUCUUCCCAAUGUUCCCAAUUCUUUCUCUCCCCCUUUCUCCAUCAUUGCUUUCUAUGUACCUGCUACCUAUCUCUGCCCUCGUGCCUCUUCCCAAUGUUCCCAAUUCUUUCUCUCCCCCUUGCUCCAUCAUUGCUUUCUAUGUCCCUGCUACCUAUCUCUGCCCUCGUGCCUCUUCCCAAUGUUCCCAAUUCUUUCUCUCCCCCUUUCUCCAUCAUUGCUUUCUAUGUACCUGCUACCUAUCUCUGCCCUCGUGCCUCUUCCCAAUGUUCCCAAUUCUUUCUCUCCCCCUUGCUCCAUCAUUGCUUUCUAUGUCCCUGCUACCUAUCGCUGUCCUCGUUCCUCUUCCCAAUGUUCCCAAUUCUUUCUCUCCCACUUUCUCCAUCAUUGCUUUCUAUGUACCUGCUACCGAUCUCUGCCCUCGUUCCUCUUCCCAAUGUUCCCAAUUCUUUCUUUGCCCCUUUCUCUCUCCACUAUGUUCCCUAUUGCUCUCUGCCUCUUGUUCUCCUUUUUCUGUAUUCUGAUGCAGUAAUUAUAACCGCUUUCUCCAUAAAGAUCCUUGCUGGAUACAAUCUGGGUUUCAGUAGCUCUGAUUAUUUUGUUAAGCGUUAUUCGAAUAGACAGGACUGAGUGAAAUUAAUCAAUCUAAAUUCAAUUAGCAUCAUGUUUAACCCAGUGAUGGACGUCUCAAGGUGAAGCCACCAUCAGUGCUUCAUUCAUUAGUAUUCUGUCCACUUACAUCCUCCUAAAUUACAAUCCACAGAGCUCCCUUUAUAGCCACCAUGGAGAAAAUUAUUCAUCUCCGGCACCAUCUCAGCCCGUACAGGGACAACACCAAACAUCCUUACCCCACCCCUAUACAACACAGGACAUCCAUACGUUCUGACUAUAUUGCACCAUAUAGCAGUAUAUCUCCAUUUUGUAUAUUGUACUGCACUUGUAUACCCCUCUAGUGUACAUUUCACAACACUUGUAUAACCCUCUGGUGUACACUGCAUGGCACUGUGUAUAUCUCCUUGGGGAAUACUGCAUGGCACUGUGUAUAUCCCCCAGGUGUAUAUUGCACAGCACUGUGUAUACCCCCUGGGUUAUAUUGCACGGCACUGUGUAUAUCCCCUGGGUUAUAUUGCACGGCACUGUGUAUACCCCCUGGUUUAUAUUGCACGGCACUGUGUAUACCCCCUGGUUUAUAUUGCAUGGCACUGUGUAUACCCCCUGGUUUAUAUUGCACGGCACUUUGUAUACCCCUGGUGUAUUUUAGAUAGCACUGGGUAUAUCAACCUGGUGUCUAUAGCACAGCGCUGUGUAUUUUCUCGUGUAUGUGUGUGUUGCACAGUGCUGUGUAUUUUCUCCUGUGUGUGUGUGUUGCACAGUGCUGUGUAUUUUCUCCUGUGUGUGUGUGUUGUACAGCGCUGUGUAUUUUCUCCUGUGUGUGUUGCACAGCGCUGUGUGUUUUCUCCUGUGUUUGUGUGUGUGUGUGUUGUACAGCGCUGUGUAUUUUCCCCUGUGUGUGUGUGUUGUACAGCGCUGUGUAUUUUCCCCUGUGUGUGUGUGUUGUACAGCGCUGUGUAUUUUCCCCUGUGUGUGUUGUACAGUGCUGUGUGUUGUACAAUGCUGUGUAUUUCCCCCGUGUGUGUUGCAUAGUGCUGUGUAUUUUCCCCCUGUGUGUGUUGCACAGCGCUGUGUAUUUUCCCCUGUGUGUGUUGCACAGCGCUGUGUAUUUUCCCCUGUGUGUGUUGCACAGCGCUGUGUAUUUUCCCCUGUGUGUCUUGCACAGCGCUAUGUAUUUUCCCGUGUGUGUUGUACAGCGCUGUGUAUUUUCCCCUGUGUGUGUGUGUGUGUGUGUUGUACAGCGCUGUGUAUUAUCCCCCGUGUGUGUUGUACAGCGCUGUGUAUUUUCCCCUGUGUGUGUUGUACAGUGCUGUGUGUUGUACAAUGCUGUGUAUUUCCCCUGUGUGUGUUGCACAGUGCUGUGUAUUUUCUCCUGUGUGUGUGUGUUGCACAGCGCUGUGUAUUUUCUCCUGUGUGUGUGUUGCAUAGCGCUGUGUAUUUUCCCCUGUGUGUGUGUGUGUGUGUGUGUGUGUGUGUGUGUGUGUGUUGCACUGUGCUGUCUAUUUUCCCCGUGUGUGUGAGUGUGUGUGUUGCACAGCGCUGGGUAUAUUCACACACUGCUGUUAGACUCCUGGUAAUUGAAUAGAUGCUGUGACGUUGUGCUGGCUGAUCAGUGGAGGAGGUGAGAAGCGGUGGUGGUGUAAUUUACACUGGAAUGGGCAGUGGGCAGCGCUGGAGGAGGUGCCUGUGUGGAGCAGACUGGACUUCCCGUCAUAUUUCAUGCUGAGAGCCGUGCGCUCUACCCCGGGAAUACACAACACGGCCUCUAAUGGGAUUUGGGAGCAGCAUGUGUGAAUUUGUUUCAGGAGUCUGAAAUGAACAGAUGUUGGUAUAAAUUACCUCUGUGUCUGACGUCUUGCAAAUUAAAAGCGCGCCUGGCAUUGCUAAACAAUCUCGCCAGGUUUGGGAGGGAGAGGGGACAGGGCGGGGGACCCGGGUUCUGUUCUGUAAGCCUCCUUAAUGUGAAGAAGAACAGAGAAGACCGGAAAUAGAGAUCAUCAUGGGGCCUUUUAAUGCUAAGUGUAAGCUAAAUCGGUGAAUGUGUUCGCUGAGCUAUAUUGGGCCUGGAGGAAUCCCACUGCGAAUACAUUAUGGAGAGCCACGACUUUAUCAGAAGUACCCCAAAUAGUACAGCUCAGUGUAGUGGUUAUGGUGUAAAGGAGCUGUGGGUGUUAUUGUAGGUUUAUGGUAUGACCUUUGGCGCAGUUUUACAAUAACUUGGCCUCUCUUAGCAUCUUAACAUCAUGGACCUGCGGUGUCCUUGUGGCCUUGACAUUAGCUGAGCAGCAGUGGAAGGGUUGGGAUUUGGGCGCAGGGAGCGCAUGAUUUUUAGUCAAAAACAACUUGCCACUAACCAGGAAGAAACGUUAUACCAUAUCCACUACAAUGAGUUUUAGGGACUGUGGUGCUUCUCUGAGUGGGACAUUCAUUAAAAAAAUUACAGUAAAAUUGCAGUUAUGAUCCACCCCUGCAAUAAAGCAAUAUAUACAGGGCACCCACAGAAAGCUUUGGGAGAGACAUAGUAGGCUGGAUUGUAAACUCUACUAAAUGUUGGAACGUCACAAUGUCCGCAUGCUUUAUUAAGUUUUUCUCUACAUUUGUAAUAUAUUAUCUAUACCGUAUAAAGCCUUGAGUGAAGCCAGACCUGAAUCCCCAUUUUUGUUUGCGGAAAUAGGUGAUUCUAAGAAGCUUUGUAAAAUUCCAAACUGUGUUUUUAUGUGUGCACUGUCCUUUUAAUCUUUAUAAUAUUGUCUGUUAUAAGAGACGGGAAAUCGUUUUCCACCUGAGUCGUGCACUUGGCCUGAAAUAACGACCGCUCCUGUCUUAUCUCUUCCAGCUCGAGAGAUGACCCGUGGGAAGUUCCUCAAUAUCUUGGAGAAGGUGAAGAAGUGACUGAGUGGAUGAUCAUUAAGAGAAUUGACUGUGGACGUGUUAUGGCGAUCGUUCAUUUUCUAACUCUGUCCAUAUGAGAGGACCCAGGAUGGGUGUUGCUCCCCAGACCGCAUUAAAGCACAGCCACUCUUAGUAAAGAGGCAGCUAAAACGUUUUUGUGAAUUUUAAACUUUCCUGAACAGAAAUCAUUACUUUGAACAAUGUGCAAAUUAAAGAGAUAUUUGCAAAUUGUCCAGUUACAAUCUAAAAGCAUAUUUUUCAAAACUGUUUAAGAACAAGUUUUAUGGUUGCUAUAUUAGUCUAUGAAAUGGCUAUCAAAGUUUUGCUAGUUCAAGAACUUAAAUUUCUUUACCUAACGUGGCACUCUAUGCACCUCUGUAGUGGUUAUGGUGCAAAAAGUCCACUGGUGCCUCCUCACAGUAAGAAGCCAAACAAUUUUUAAACAGUUUGACACUAACCUUGGUUGCAAACGAUACUUUUUUUUUUUUUUUUUCUUCUUCUUCUUUUAAAAUAUAGUCAAAGCAGAUGUUCCCAUUCUACUUUCGUAAAUCUUUCGACCUCAUUUAUUAAAUGUGCAAAAUGUCUUUUAGCCAAUGAAUUGAACUUUAGUGAUAUCGUAGAAGACCGGCAGAGCAGUGGGCUCCUGAAGCAUCCUAGGCUUGACUGUGAUUGGGGGCCAGUGUCUACAACUAUUAAAAUAUUCUGCUAUUUAGUGGAAGUAGUGCCUUGUUACUUAUUUAAUAUUUUUUUUCAUAAAAGGAGCGAUUUUGCAGGCCUACAUAGUUAAUUAUGAGAGAACCCAGAAUGAGGGAGAUGGUAUUGCAUACCGGGAUGCUACAAUGGAGCUUAGAGUGUUCCUUUAAACUGUUACCUGCAACUGUAUUCUAAAUUACUGAUCAUGGAGCUCUUCAGGUGGGUGUUCACAAACUUCUACAAUCAGUUGAAUAUGUUCACAAAGCUCUGGAUGAGUUGGUGCUGUGUGACCAUAGAGCGCUGCAGGUGGUUGGAUGGGAUCAGUGUGUUAAUGUGCAGCUCUGCAAAUGGCUGGGUGCAAUGUGUGAUCACAGAGCUCUGCCGGUGGGUGGAUUGAUGCCGGGUGUUUGAUCACAGAGCUCUACAGGUGGGUGGUUUGCUGCCGGGUGUUUGAUCACAGAGCUCUGAAGGUGGGUGGAUUGACGCUGGGUGUUUGAUCACAGAGAUCUACAGGUGGGUGGAUUGCUGCCGGGUGUUUGAUCACAGAGCUCUACAGGUGGGUGGAUUGCUGCUGGGUGUUUGAUCACAGAGCUCUGAGUUGGGUGGAUUGACGCUGGGUGUUUGAUCACAGAGCUCUACAGGUGGGUGGAUUGCUGCCGGGUGUUUGAUCACAGAGCUCUGCCGGUGGGUGGAUUGACGCUGGGUGUUUGAUCACAGAGCUCUGAGUUGGGUGGAUUGCUGCCGGGUGUUUGAUCACAGAGCUCUACAGGUGGGUGGAUUGCUGCCGGGUGUUUGAUCACAGAGCUCUGCCGGUGGGUGGAUUGACGCUGGGUGUUUGAUCACAGAGCUCUGAGUUGGGUGGAUUGCUGCCGGGUGUUUGAUCACAGAGCUCUACAGGUGGGUGGAUUGCUGCCGGGUGUUUGAUCACAGAGCUCUGCCGGUGGGUGGAUUGACGCUGGGUGUUUGAUCACAGAGCUCUGCAGGUGGGUGGAUUGCUGCCGGGUGUUUGAUCACAGAGCUCUACAGGUGGGUGGAUUGCUGCCGGGUGUUUGAUCACUGAGCUCUGCCGGUGGGUGGAUUGACGCUGGGUGAUUGAUCACAGAGCUCAGGAUUAUGAAGAAUAUAUCCCCUACAUGGAGCCUGAAUAUAGAGGAAUAACAAAGUUCAUGUUUCACUCUUUCCAAAGCCAUCAAACACUGUGAGGAAAUUGCCACUUACC
RNAcentral lists this long non-coding RNA (19017 nucleotides) under Pelobates cultripes (western spadefoot toad). The record is from RNAcentral. Lineage: Eukaryota; Metazoa; Chordata; Amphibia; Anura; Pelobatidae.